Regulatory RNA element from Neotoma lepida (desert woodrat), 323 nucleotides. It matches the Rfam family "Mason-Pfizer monkey virus packaging signal". Rfam says of the family: The packaging signal is located in the 5' UTR and is required for specific RNA encapsidation. NCBI's taxonomy places the organism in Eukaryota, Metazoa, Chordata, Mammalia, Rodentia, Cricetidae. The record is from Rfam.
UGGUGCCCAAAGUUGAGGCUUGAGAACAUGGAUGAUCGGUGAACGUCGCACACCAAAGCAGGCCUGCAUAUCAGUUGGACCACUGUGAAGAACGCUCCAUGAGCAUAGGUCCAGUCAAGUGAUCGCCACAGGGACGCCCGACCAUGAGACAGAUCCAGGGAGUUGAUUUGUGCCAACACAAGGUAAGUUUACCAUGGGACAAGCAUUUAGUAAGCAGGAUUUAUUUAUUUCAGGACUUAAAAAGUCUCUCAAGACACGAGGAACAANGGUUAAAAAGAAAGAUUUUAAAAAGUUUCUUGAUUAUAUUGGGGACUUUUGUCGCU